AACGAACGCUGGCGGCAGGCCUAACACAUGCAAGUCGAGCGCGCCUUUCGGGGUGAGCGGCGGACGGGUUAGUAACGCGUGGGAAUAUGCCCAGAUCUACGGAAUAGCCUUUGGAAACGAAGAGUAAUACCGUAUACGCCCUUUUGGGGAAAGAUUUAUCGGAUUUGGAUUAGCCCGCGUUAGAUUAGGUAGUUGGUGGGGUAAUGGCCUACCAAGCCUACGAUCUAUAGCUGGUUUGAGAGGAUGAUCAGCAACACUGGGACUGAGACACGGCCCAGACUCCUACGGGAGGCAGCAGUGGGGAAUCUUAGACAAUGGGGGAAACCCUGAUCUAGCCAUGCCGCGUGAGUGAAGAAGGCCCUAGGGUCGUAAAGCUCUUUCGCCUGUGAUGAUAAUGACAGUAGCAGGUAAA
RNAcentral lists this ribosomal RNA (412 nucleotides) under uncultured Alphaproteobacteria bacterium. Its description in RNAcentral is "bacterial SSU rRNA". It matches the Rfam family "Bacterial small subunit ribosomal RNA", at positions 29 to 486 of the family's 1533-position model. The record is from RNAcentral. Lineage: Bacteria; Pseudomonadati; Pseudomonadota; Alphaproteobacteria.